RNAcentral lists this ribosomal RNA (1452 nucleotides) under Salmonella enterica subsp. enterica serovar Bredeney. Its description in RNAcentral is "bacterial SSU rRNA". It matches the Rfam family "Bacterial small subunit ribosomal RNA". Lineage: Bacteria; Pseudomonadati; Pseudomonadota; Gammaproteobacteria; Enterobacterales; Enterobacteriaceae. The record is from RNAcentral.
CAGGAAGCAGCUUGCUGCUUUGCUGACGAGUGGCGGACGGGUGAGUAAUGUCUGGGAAACUGCCUGAUGGAGGGGGAUAACUACUGGAAACGGUGGCUAAUACCGCAUAACGUCGCAAGACCAAAGAGGGGGACCUUCGGGCCUCUUGCCAUCAGAUGUGCCCAGAUGGGAUUAGCUUGUUGGUGAGGUAACGGCUCACCAAGGCGACGAUCCCUAGCUGGUCUGAGAGGAUGACCAGCCACACUGGAACUGAGACACGGUCCAGACUCCUACGGGAGGCAGCAGUGGGGAAUAUUGCACAAUGGGCGCAAGCCUGAUGCAGCCAUGCCGCGUGUAUGAAGAAGGCCUUCGGGUUGUAAAGUACUUUCAGCGGGGAGGAAGGUGUUGUGGUUAAUAACCGCAGCAAUUGACGUUACCCGCAGAAGAAGCACCGGCUAACUCCGUGCCAGCAGCCGCGGUAAUACGGAGGGUGCAAGCGUUAAUCGGAAUUACUGGGCGUAAAGCGCACGCAGGCGGUCUGUCAAGUCGGAUGUGAAAUCCCCGGGCUCAACCUGGGAACUGCAUUCGAAACUGGCAGGCUUGAGUCUUGUAGAGGGGGGUAGAAUUCCAGGUGUAGCGGUGAAAUGCGUAGAGAUCUGGAGGAAUACCGGUGGCGAAGGCGGCCCCCUGGACAAAGACUGACGCUCAGGUGCGAAAGCGUGGGGAGCAAACAGGAUUAGAUACCCUGGUAGUCCACGCCGUAAACGAUGUCUACUUGGAGGUUGUGCCCUUGAGGCGUGGCUUCCGGAGCUAACGCGUUAAGUAGACCGCCUGGGGAGUACGGCCGCAAGGUUAAAACUCAAAUGAAUUGACGGGGGCCCGCACAAGCGGUGGAGCAUGUGGUUUAAUUCGAUGCAACGCGAAGAACCUUACCUGGUCUUGACAUCCACGGAAGAAUCCAGAGAUGGAUUUGUGCCUUCGGGAACCGUGAGACAGGUGCUGCAUGGCUGUCGUCAGCUCGUGUUGUGAAAUGUUGGGUUAAGUCCCGCAACGAGCGCAACCCUUAUCCUUUGUUGCCAGCGGUCCGGCCGGGAACUCAAAGGAGACUGCCAGUGAUAAACUGGAGGAAGGUGGGGAUGACGUCAAGUCAUCAUGGCCCUUACGACCAGGGCUACACACGUGCUACAAUGGCGCAUACAAAGAGAAGCGACCUCGCGAGAGCAAGCGGACCUCAUAAAGUGCGUCGUAGUCCGGAUUGGAGUCUGCAACUCGACUCCAUGAAGUCGGAAUCGCUAGUAAUCGUGGAUCAGAAUGCCACGGUGAAUACGUUCCCGGGCCUUGUACACACCGCCCGUCACACCAUGGGAGUGGGUUGCAAAAGAAGUAGGUAGCUUAACCUUCGGGAGGGCGCUUACCACUUUGUGAUUCAUGACUGGGGUGAAGUCGUAACAAGGUAACCGUAGGGGAACCUGC